This 400-nucleotide unclassified non-coding RNA is filed under the name uncultured Cortinarius. Its description in RNAcentral is "sequence contains ITS2". The stretch from base 1 to 154 matches the Rfam family "5.8S ribosomal RNA". The record is from RNAcentral. Lineage: Eukaryota; Fungi; Basidiomycota; Agaricomycetes; Agaricales; Cortinariaceae.
AACUUUUGACAAUGGAUCACUUGGCUCUCGCAUCGAUGAAGAACGCAGCGAAAUGCGAUAAGUAAUGUGAAUUGCAGAAUUCAGCGAAUCAUCGAAUCUUUGAACGCACCUUGCGCUCCUUGGUAUUCCGAGGAGCAUGCCUGUUUGAGUGUCAUUAAUAUAUCAACCUUCUCUUUUUGAGUGGUUUGGAUGUGGGGGUUUGCUGGCCUCUUAAAAGGUCUUGGCUCUCCUGAAAUACAUUAGCAGAACAACCCUGUUCAUUGGUGUGAUAACUAUCUACGCUAUUGAAUGUGAAGGGCAGUUUGGCUUUCUAACAGUCCUUGGACAAGCUCAUCAUUAAUGUGACCUCAAAUCAGGUAGGACUACCCGCUGAACUUAAGCAUAUCAAUAAGCGGAGGCU